UACGUAGGGUGCGAGCGUUGCCCGGAUUUAUUGGGCGUAAAGGGCGCGUAGGCGGCUCGACACGUUCGUUGUGAAAUCGCCCGGCUCAACUGGGCGGGGUCAGCGAAUACGGUCGAGCUUGAGCAAGCUAGGGGGCAAUGGAAUUCCCGGUGUAGUGGUGGAAUGCGUAGAUAUCGGGAGGAACACCAGUGGCGAAGGCGGCUCACUGGCUCGGUACUGACGCUGAGGUGCGAAAGCGUGGGGAGCAAACAGG
Molecule: ribosomal RNA, 253 nt
Filed under: uncultured bacterium
Lineage: Bacteria
Description: partial 16S ribosomal RNA
Rfam family: Bacterial small subunit ribosomal RNA
Source: RNAcentral